CCGGCGCGCAGCACCACGAGGAGCGCCUCCGAGGCCCACGCGUCCCUGCAGCCGCCCGCCGCGCAGCCCGCGGAGCCCGACAGCUCCAGCCGGCCUCCACCUGUGGGGACGGAGAGGGGGCUGGGGAGCGGGCAUUUAUUGAUUCCUUGCUCGGGGCCGAUGAGAAAGACAGCUGUCUGUCCCCGAGGAGCUCACACACAAAGGGGAGACAAAUCCACAGUUCAGUGGUUACAAAAGCAACGCCGCUUCUUCCGUACAGCAUGCUCGGCCUGAUCAGAAUUUCACAUUUUCAAGCGUUGUAAGUCAGCUACUGGGUCCCUUCUGCGACCAAACCUCCUUGACCCGGACCUGGGCUCCUAAUCCCUUCCGUGUAGUCCCAACCCAAGGGAGUCUCUGACCUCGUUCCUGACCCUGUGCCCUCCAUGCUCUCGGGCAGCCCCUUCCGACCAGCACUCUAGAGGGAGGAAAAGCGGGGGAGCAGGGCAACCGUCCAGGAACGGCGUGCCAGGCCCUGGAAGGACCCGGCUGACAGCCGCCGCGGAGGAAAGGUUUGAAGAGCCGCGCCCCGAGCGAGGCGCCCAUUGGCUGCCGCAGCCUCCCCCGGCCAAUCGCCGGCGAUGAAGGUGACGUCCCGUUCCGGGCGGCGCUCACCUCGCCGGCCGCGGUCAGCGCUGCGGUCUGUCCAGCUCGAGUUCCGUCAAGCCGGCCCCGGGGCUUGCGCUGGGCCGCUGCGCCCUCGGUGUGAACGAGGUAACCUCCGGUGGGCGCGGGCCCGAGGCAGAGGUCGGGUCGGACGGCCCCGCCCUACGCAGUCACGCGCGGGGCCGCGCAACUCGGGUCAGAAUCCAAGUCGAAGGGCUGGCGAGGAGCCACUGCGGAGACACGUGCUCCCUGUCAUUCCCCUCACUCCGGGACGGCUGCAGCUCACCCACACGCGCGGGACCGAUGCCCAACAGGAAGCAGCCGUACUAGGCGGGAGCCUCGGCGAGCUUAACCUUCCACUGGCUCGGGACCUGUCACUCAUCUAUGUGAACCAAUGAGCCUCAAGCUGGGCUCCCAGAACGGAAGCAGGCUUCUCGCGGACGGCCCGCCCGGGCAGGUCGGGGAGCUCUUGCCCUCACCUGUUUCAGCUAAGGGUUUUUUCCGGGAGGGAAGAGCAUGCCCCGAGGACACACCCACCCCAAAUCCAGAGCAAGGCCCGAGUGGAGGCCACUGGGAAGUCUCAAUACAAAGACAAAAAUAUUGAAGGGGCAGCAUCUAGGAGUCCAAACCCAUUUAUUCCCAAGCGACGGAACAGAUUUUUAUUAGCUUCCUAGGUUUACCCCUUGACCCUCGAGCAGAAUUAAAAAGCAACUCAGCAGGCUCCAGGGUGGAGAAGCCAUUGGCUUCCCUCCGUCCAGGGGGCUGUGCUGUGUAGCUCCGCUCUAGACUCAACCAGGCCUGGCUCACAGCCAGCCCUCCCUGCCUCGGGACAGGGCACACAUUUCACUUCCUAUACGUAGAGGGUCGAGGCAGUCCCGCUAGCAGGCUCGGGAGUUGCUCCCAGCUGGUGAGGCUGCUUGAUGCGCCCUUUCCCAAUGCCAGGAACCCACAGGCUGGGUUAGGAUGCACCUUCCCCAUUCCCAGCUCUCUACAGUAGUACAGGAAAAGGGCUCUGCUGCGUGAGGCUGGAGGCAGUGCUGGCAGAGCAGGGCUGUGACUGAAGGUGGUCCCUGACUUAGCAGAGGACGUCAAAGGGCAGCUACAGACAAGCCAGUGUGCAGCAUCCCAGCCCCCACCAGCCCAAGCUGCGUAUGUCCUCACUCCUCUGCUGCAACAGGUGACGUGUGCAUGAGGCAGCCCCUCAUUCUCCAUCCUGGUUGGGUUUGAUAAGCCCGUAUUCCACCGCUUUUGCCAGGCAAGCUGCGGCAGCCCUUGUGACAGGGCUUUCCUUGCCCUUAGCCAGCACCGACAGGAUCUCCAGCACUUCGCUCUCCAUCAGGCUGCUGGCUAUGUCUUUCGAGGCCUCCACCAUGUUCAGUGCCACCAAGGCACCCCGGUGCUGCAGCUCCUGGUUGGAGCUUAGAAGCAAGGCCUGCAGGAUCUCCAGCCAGUGCGUGGUCUGCGGGAAACAGGGCAGUGCCACCCCCGAGCCACAGGCUCAACCCUGGCAGAAGCACAUCUGCGUGCCCUGGGAUCCCCCCCAGAACCCACCAACCGCCAGCAUGCAGGGAGUUCCUGGCCCACCUUCCCUCCCGCACCGAGGCACUGACCACUUGGGGGAUGCGGCUGCAGAGGGAGGGCCGCAUGGAGGUGAGCAUGGCCAGGCCCCCAGCAGCUGCCCGCCGCAGCAGCUCGUCGUCCUCCCCGCUAUACAGCACCAGCAGCUUCAGCCGGUCGUUGCCCUUGGCUUCAAACAGGUCCUGCACCUGCAGCCACAAGAGGGGAGGGGACGGAGUCGGCUGGGGCAAAGCCUGGCGGGACACAGGUACUUCCGCAUGCCUGCCCGUCAGGACCACCCGGACCAGCCCUCACCUCCUUGCUCAUAGCCAAAUUACACAUGCACUCCGUGGCUGCCCGGCGGAUCAUCUCGUGCUCCUCGAACAUAUAGCCCUCGAUCAUGGGCACGGCCUUCUCCUUCAGGAUCUUCUGCCUGUAGGGCCGAGGGUGGAAAGGUGAGCCUCCGCAUCCACCUCCCCCACCCCAGCGUCCCCACACAAUCGAGCCCCAGGCCAAGGAUUUCCCAGGGGGUAUCCAAAGACCCUCCUGCACCAGGUAUGAAUGGCACUGCUUUCCAGCUUCUUAAGCAGGCCUGGGGGACAGCAUGGGACCGUGGAAAAUGCUCUACAGUAGGAGUUAGGAGACCAGGGGGCUGGUGAUGGUGAUGCUAACAGCUAACAUUUAAGCACCUACCCUGACCCCGAACUUGGACUAUCUUUCUUAGUCCUCACCACGGCCCUAUGGUGUAGGUGCAGGUAUGAUUAUAACUGUUUUGCACAAGAAGAGACCAAGGCUGAGUAGUGGAUAAUGGGGCCAAUAUCACAAUUAGUAGUGACAGCUGACACAUGUUGACUGGGCACGUUGCUGGGAGCCACGUUCUGUGUACUAAGUGCUUUUGCCUGCGUUUUCUCAUUUACCUCUCCUUGCUACUACCCCUGUAGUACCUAUGGGAACUAUAACCAUCCCAUUUCCCAGAAGGAAAAUGGAGGCACAGAGCAGCACUCGUUUGAGGUUGAGGUUGCACACCGGUAACCAGUGAAGUCAGGAUUUAAUAAACCCGGGCAGUCUGACUCUAGAGCUUGCGCUGUCGCUGCCCAAUGCCUUGCCCACUCGUGGAACACUGGCCUAGUCAAAACUGGCCUGUCUCCCCAGCUACAUAAUACACAGAGGUCACCGCGAGGCUCAAAUAAAGCAAUGACCCAAGA
Long non-coding RNA from Felis catus (domestic cat), 3404 nucleotides. RefSeq lists it as uncharacterized. The record is from RefSeq and is a predicted model, not a curated record. The transcript has 2 exons. NCBI's taxonomy places the organism in Eukaryota, Metazoa, Chordata, Mammalia, Carnivora, Felidae.